GCGACAUUAGCUCAGUUGAUAGAGCGGUACCUUGCCAAGGUACAGGUCAUCGGUUCGAACCCGAUAUGUCGCUCCA
RNAcentral lists this transfer RNA (76 nucleotides) under Shewanella indica. Its description in RNAcentral is "tRNA-Gly". It matches the Rfam family "tRNA". From Rfam's summary of the family: Transfer RNA (tRNA) molecules are approximately 80 nucleotides in length. Lineage: Bacteria; Pseudomonadati; Pseudomonadota; Gammaproteobacteria; Alteromonadales; Shewanellaceae. The record is from RNAcentral.